RNAcentral lists this ribosomal RNA (536 nucleotides) under uncultured bacterium. Its description in RNAcentral is "bacterial SSU rRNA". It matches the Rfam family "Bacterial small subunit ribosomal RNA", at positions 153 to 708 of the family's 1533-position model. The record is from RNAcentral.
GAAACCGGUGCUAAUACCGCGUAAGACCACGUACUGGGAUGUACGAGGUAAAAGGAUUUAUCCACCUGGGGAUGGGCCUGCGGCCUAUCAGGUAGUUGGUGGGGUAAAGGCCUACCAAGCCAAAGACGGGUAGCCGGUCUGAGAGGAUGAACGGCCACACUGGAACUGAGACACGGUCCAGACUCCUACGGGAGGCAGCAGUGGGGAAUAUUGCGCAAUGGGGGAAACCCUGACGCAGCGACGCCGCGUGGAGGACGAAGGCCUUCGGGUUGUAAACUUCUUUUAUAGGGGAAGAUAGUGACGGUACCCUAUGAAUAAGCCACGGCUAACUCUGUGCCAGCAGCCGCGGUAAGACAGAGGUGGCGAGCGUUGUUCGGAAUUACUGGGCUUAAAGGGCGCGUANGCGGUGGUGUAAGUCUGUGGUGGAAUCUCAGGGCUCAACCUUGAAAUUGCCAUGGAAACUACAUGACUUGAGUCAGUGAGGGGAANGCGGAUUCCUGGUGUAGCAGUGAAAUGCGUAGAUAUCAGGAGGAAAG